AUGGUGCUAUCACUCCACAAGGGAACUAUAGAACAGUUCGAUAUUUCGGGUAGUGAAAGCUAUCAUGAUGAGUUCGCUAGGUGGAUGCUUAUGCUGUCAAGCAGAUCACCAAGAUCAAUUAUAAUUGAGUUGAAGUCAAGGCCAAGGUAUAGGAUACCCUCGUGCAUCUUUUCUAUCAGCCAUCUGAAGUCUCUGCACCUAGAAAAUUGCACCAUCAGCUUGCCCCGGGUAUUCCAAGGUUUCAAGAGCCUAACUGACCUAAGCCUCAAAUUUUUCUCCUCCACAAACAUGGAUAUCCAAAAUCUGAUCUCAUUCUGCCCUGUACUGACCAAUUUGAUACUAAAUUAUUUUGAGGGCAUCAACCGUCUAAACAUUCAGGCUCCUGAACUAGAAUAUCUUAAUGUUGUUGGGGACUUUGAAGACAUUGAUUUGGAUGCCCCUAAUCUGAAGGCAGCCAUUCUCUUCCAUUAUCACAAAUCUAAAGCAUAUCAAUCUAUUCCAAUUGCGCAUGACAAGGAAAGCCAUGUCAAGAAGUCAUUGGGAAGCCUAAGUGAGAUCAAAACACUUGGAAUUUCUAGCAGUUUCAUGAAGUAUCUAUCAAAGGCGUGCAUACUUACGAAACUCCCUAUCGUGUUCACUCGCCUGGAGGAUAUUUAUCUUACGAUAUGCUUUUGGGACCAGAGGCAAGUCUUGACCGUGUGUUCAUUGUUUCAGAAUGCCCCUAACUUGAAGAAGCUUCUCAUGUGGAGUUACCCUGGGAGCACAUAUGAUCAGGAUCAGGCGAGCAUUCAAGAGCUUACCCUGCAAAUGCAAAUGAACCAUCUCAUAACGGUCAGUGUGAACGAUUUUCGGGGUUUGGACCACGAAGUCCAUUUCGUGGCAAAGCUAUUGAGCUGGGCACCUGCUUUGGAAGAAGUGAGAAUAGAGUGGAAGGGCGAAAUGGACCGCAGCAUGGUUCUUACUAAGCUAUUAGCGCUGCCGAGGGUGUCUCCCAGGGCCAAGAUCAUCGUUACAUGA
Molecule: ribosomal RNA, 1017 nt
Filed under: Triticum aestivum (bread wheat)
Lineage: Eukaryota; Viridiplantae; Streptophyta; Magnoliopsida; Poales; Poaceae
Description: partial small subunit ribosomal RNA
Source: RNAcentral